AUGGGGAACGGCGGCGGCGUCCAUGCCGAUCAAGCUGUUGCAUUGAAAAACAAAGGCAGCCCCACCUGCAGUGACGUGGCGAAGCCGAGCUGCAAGCAUAGGUACGAGCUCGUCUGCUACGACGCGCUCCGGGCCUUCUUGAAGCACGACGAAUGCAUCCUCGAUCACUACCGCAGCGAAUGGCCCGUCAAGCAGGCGAUCCUCAGCGCCUUCGCCCUCCACAACGAGACGAUCAACGUCUGGACGCAUUUGAUCUGCUUCUUCAUCUUCCUCGCGCUCACCAUGUCCGUCUGGUCGGGGGAGCACGGCCCGGUCACGCGGUGGCCGUUCUACACGUACCUGUGCGGCGCCAUGUUCUGCCUGCUGAUGAGCAGCGGUUGCCAUCUGCUGGCGUGCCACUCGGAGCAUGCCACCUACGUGCUGCUCCGGCUCGACUACGCCGGCAUCACCGGCCUUAUCGUCACCUCCUUCUACCCGGUCGUCUACUACACCUUCCUCUGUGACCCCUUCUCCCGUACACUCUACCUUGGCUCCAUCACCAUCUGCGGCGCGGCCGCUGUGGCUGUCUCGCUGCUGCCGGUCUUCCAGGCACCUGAUCUGCGGUGGGCGCGCGCUGCGCUAUUCGCGUGCAUGGGCGCGUCCGGCAUCGUGCCAAUCGUGCACAAGAUGCUCAUGUUCCAUGCACGACCCGAGGCGGUGCUCACGACUGGUUACGAGGUGGUCAUGGGGGCGUUCUACCUUGCCGGCGUGUUGGUUUACGCCACAAGGGUGCCGGAGAGGUUUAUGCCAGGAAUGUUUGACCUCGUCGGGCAUAGCCACCAGCUGUUCCACGUGCUAGUCAUUGCCAGCGCUUACGCGCACUACCAUGCUGGCCUGGUUUACUUGAGUUGGCGGGACAGGGACCAGUGCUGA
This 912-nucleotide ribosomal RNA is filed under the name Triticum aestivum (bread wheat). RNAcentral's name for it is "partial small subunit ribosomal RNA". The record is from RNAcentral. Lineage: Eukaryota; Viridiplantae; Streptophyta; Magnoliopsida; Poales; Poaceae.